Molecule: ribosomal RNA, 1123 nt
Filed under: Lyperosomum sarothrurae
Lineage: Eukaryota; Metazoa; Platyhelminthes; Trematoda; Plagiorchiida; Dicrocoeliidae
Description: eukaryotic LSU rRNA
Rfam family: Eukaryotic large subunit ribosomal RNA
Source: RNAcentral
AGAGCCCAGCACCGAAGCCUGUGGUCAGUUGGCCAUUAGGCAAUGUGGUGUUUAGGUCAUUCCGCAGAAACACUGCUCCACCCCAAGUCCAUUAAUGGGUACGGUAGUACAGACAUGGCCCACGGAGGGUGAAAGGCCCGUUCGGGUGGAGAUUCGGCAGGCCAGUGUUUCUCUGGGUAGACCUUGGAGUCGGGUUGUUUGUGAAUGCAGCCCAAAGCGGGUGGUAAACUCCAUCCAAGGCUAAAUACAAGCACGAGUCCGAUAGCGAACAAGUACCGUGAGGGAAAGUUGAAAAGUACUUUGAAGAGAGAGUUAACAGUGCGUGAAACCGCUCAGAGGUAAGCAGGUGGAGUUGAACUGCAAGCCUUGAGAAUUCAGCUGGUGAGGGUGAUUUGGUCUUGGUCAAGUUGGUUGGGCCCCGAGGUACGUUCAAUUACGUGUCCCUUCCCUUGGGUUGGGGUGUGCGAUACACUUAUCAAGUGUUGCGCGCCUUGGGUGUUCAUCGAGCUUCCUUGCCAGUGCACUUUCUCAAGGUGUUCACCACGACCGGCGCUGCUGUCAGACUGUUACGGUCAAACUGGCUUCCAUAUAUGAUCAGCCGACCGUGAUGGUUCUGUGCGGUGCGUCGGAGACGGCGGCCAGUGGUGUGUGCAUGCGUGCCCGAUUUGCUGGCGUAUCCCGGUUUGGUUUCUGUGUUGCCUGUGUAACAGGCCCAGUUAUGGCUGGGGUUCGUUCGGUGGAUGGUUGCGUGUGUGACACUUCCGAGGGCCAAUAGUCUGUGGUGUAGUGGUAGACUAUCCACCUGACCCGUCUUGAAACACGGACCAAGGAGAGUAACAUGUACGCGAGUCAUUGGGCGUAACGAAACCCACAGGCGCAGUGAAAGUAAAGGUCUGACUUGUUCAGACUGAGGUGAGAUCCUGUCGUUUCCCACGCGUGGCAUCACCAAGCACGGAGCGGCAGGCGCAUCACCGGCCCGUCACAUGACGUAGUCUCGUCCUCGGAUGUGCAUCGUCGUGGCGGAGCAUGAGCGUACAUGUUGAGACCCGAAAGAUGGUGAACUAUGCUUGCGCAGGUUGAAGCCAGAGGAAACUCUGGUGGAGGACCGCAGCGAUUCUGACGU